RNAcentral lists this ribosomal RNA (513 nucleotides) under uncultured marine eukaryote. RNAcentral's name for it is "bacterial SSU rRNA". It matches the Rfam family "Eukaryotic small subunit ribosomal RNA", at positions 619 to 1130 of the family's 1831-position model. The record is from RNAcentral.
UUAAAAAGCUCGUAGUUGGAUUUCUGCGGGGGCGGGGCGGCCGGUUGCUUAUAGCACUCGAGCUAGCACUUCCCCUGCAUCCUGCCGCGAACCGUGCUACCAUUAGUUUGGUGGCGCCGGGGAUCGGCUCGUUUACUUUGAGAAAAAUAGAGUGUUCAAAGCAGGCCACACGCCUUGAAUAAGUUAGCAUGGAAUAAUGAUAAAGGACUUCGGUUCUAUUUUGUUGGUGUUCGGGACUGAAGUAAUGAUUGAUAGGGACAGUUGGGGCGGUCCGUAUUCCAAAGCGAGAGGUGAAAUUCUUAGACCUUCGGAAGACGAACAGCUGCGAAAGCGUUCCGCAAGGAUGUUCCCCUUUGAUCAAGAACGAAAGUUGGGGGAUCGAAGACGAUCAGAUACCGUCGUAGUCUCAACUAUAAACUAUACCAGCUACGGAUCGGCCAACGUUUAAUUACACCGACUUGGUCGGCACCUUAUGAGAAAUCAAAGCAUCUGGGUUCCGGGGGGAGUAUGGUC